This 486-nucleotide ribosomal RNA is filed under the name Veillonella atypica. RNAcentral's name for it is "bacterial SSU rRNA". It matches the Rfam family "Bacterial small subunit ribosomal RNA", at positions 28 to 483 of the family's 1533-position model. Lineage: Bacteria; Bacillati; Bacillota; Negativicutes; Veillonellales; Veillonellaceae. The record is from RNAcentral.
GACGAACGCUGGCGGCGUGCUUAACACAUGCAAGUCGAACGAAGAGCGAUGGAAGCUUGCUUCUAUCAAUCUUAGUGGCGAACGGGUGAGUAACGCGUAAUCAACCUGCCCUUCAGAGGGGGACAACAGUUGGAAACGACUGCUAAUACCGCAUACGAUCCAAUCUCGGCAUCGAGACUGGAUGAAAGGUGGCCUCUAUUUAUAAGCUAUCACUGAAGGAGGGGAUUGCGUCUGAUUAGCUAGUUGGAGGGGUAACGGCCCACCAAGGCGAUGAUCAGCAGCCGGUCUGAGAGGAUGAACGGCCACAUUGGGACUGAGACACGGCCCAGACUCCUACGGGAGGCAGCAGUGGGGAAUCUUCCGCAAUGGACGAAAGUCUGACGGAGCAACGCCGCGUGAGUGAUGACGGCCUUCGGGUUGUAAAGCUCUGUUAAUCGGGACGAAUGGUUCUUGUGCGAAUAGUGCGAGGAUUUGACGGUACCGGAA